ACAUCUUAUUGACAACCCUAAAACCUUGCAAAACCAUCCAUUUAUGUCCCUUUCACAACCAAACAAAAGUAGCAUUUCCCCAAAAACAAGUGCAACCCUGCCCUUUAAAGUCCAGCCUCACCCCCAUUCUACCUCAGACCUGCAACAGGAUUACAUAAUAAAACAUACUUUCUUCAUCAGUGAACUCAGCGGGCCUCCUUAAUUAUUCACUUAUUUCAUUCAUCAUGAACAUGAUCAAAGUCACUUGUGCAGUUCUCAUUGCAGCUUCCUCCAUGAGUGCAGCAUUUGCUGCUGCAGAGGUUCCUGCCCCUGCACCUGGCCCAAGCAGUGAUGCCUCAAGCACUGUUGUUGGGUCCUUGAUUGGUGCCUCGGUGUUGUCUUUCAUUGCCUUGUUCCACUAAGGUCAGAGAAAACCAGAACACAUCUAUUGUUACACAAAAUUUGCCAUUAGUUAUGUUUUUUGUUGUGAUAGGUUGAAAUAAUAUAUUUUACUUCAAUAUUUAAUAAUUAAAUAUAUAUUUUUGAUCAAUCACAACAAUUUACACAUGCAACAACACAUUUUUUGGAAUAGAUGAGGUCUCCCUAAAAAAACAUGACAUGGGAGAAGAGAGAUACAAUUUACUUGAAGAUGUAAAUCUAUACAUCUAAAAAAACUGAAUAAAGUGUGACAACGAGUAUUAUAAAAAAUUCAUACAUGUUGUAAUAACAAUGAUUUGUUACAUCAUUAUUUUUAUUCACAGAUGUUUUAGUUUCAUUUUUGUUCAGUUCAUUAGGUAUCUUAAUUCUUGAUUUCUCCUAAGCAAUUAAAGCGAUAAGAAAAGGAAACGUGUCCUAAACUGGUUCUGGUUACAAACAUCACAAUCAUCAAUAAAUAAUCAGAAAGUUUGAGAAAUAAAAAAAGUGCGUUAGUUAUCUCCCAUAUCUAUUACUGCUAUAUACGAAUAACAAAUAAAAAACACAAAAUAGGGAGGACAUUCUUAAUGGAAAAUGAGGAUCCAUGGUUUCUUGCUUGAGAACUUUGGCAUCCAGAAACGAC
Molecule: long non-coding RNA, 1036 nt
Filed under: Lupinus angustifolius (narrow-leaved blue lupine)
Lineage: Eukaryota; Viridiplantae; Streptophyta; Magnoliopsida; Fabales; Fabaceae
Description: long non-coding RNA (LANG_LNC000788)
Source: RNAcentral